AAACCCAAGUCAACACUGAACCUGCAACAAAACAGGACAUUGAUAACCUCUUCGACAGAAUCCGAAAGCUUUUUGCCGCAGACAUAGCAGCAGUGCAGACCGAGGUGCGGGCGGUCACCGCCCGCGUCCAGGUGUCUGACACAAACAUAGCUGAUCUGCAAAGCAACCUGGCAGCAGUAAGAGACACCGUAACGAAACUACAAGAGCAACACUCAAACAUGUCUCUGAGACUAGACUUACUGGAUGAAAGAUCCCGCCAGAAGAAUGUAAAGAUCAGGGGGGUCGCAGAAGCAGUGACCACAGAAGAAUUACCGCACCUCAUAAGGCGCCUAAUAACUACAUUGCUCCCAGCUAAACAGGCGAUGCAAUUCGCACAUGACGGCGCAUAACGUAUCGCAAAAUCCCCUAGGGCG
Pelobates cultripes (western spadefoot toad) is the source of this 413-nucleotide non-coding RNA. NCBI's taxonomy places the organism in Eukaryota, Metazoa, Chordata, Amphibia, Anura, Pelobatidae. The record is from the annotation of a GenBank genome assembly.